This 312-nucleotide long non-coding RNA is filed under the name Medicago truncatula (barrel medic). RNAcentral's name for it is "long non-coding RNA (MTRU_LNC003192)". Lineage: Eukaryota; Viridiplantae; Streptophyta; Magnoliopsida; Fabales; Fabaceae. The record is from RNAcentral.
GUGUUUUACCCCCUGUAAUAUAGGUCAUUUUCAGUUUUAUCCUCUGUAAAAUAUUUUUUUUGGAUUUCGUCCUUGUAAUUUGAAUAUUUUUUGUUUUGGACCUUCAUGAAUUUUGACUGUACAAAAUCGAAGAUAUAGCAGGGGGUAAACCAAAAUUUGCUAAAAUUAAUAGGGGGUAAAUCGAAAUUUGCUCAAAUUACAAGGGGGUAAACCUAAAUUUUCUCAAAUUACAUGGGGUGAAAUUUUUCAUGAAGGUCCAAAACCAAAAAAUCUUCAUAUUACAAUGAUGAAAUUCAAAAAAAUUAUUUUACA